GAAAAUUCAGAAAAUUGAUGGGAUAAACAUAGUUGUUUGAAGAAAUAUGUCUAAUGAGAAUCUUGACCUCUUUUGUUGUCAACAUUGUUCUUGAUUUGUCGUUUUUUUCAUUUUUCUAGGGUAAAGUGCCAAGAUCUGGUAGUUUUGAAUGGUGAAAAGUAAUUGUUGAUUAUUUUUAUGAAAUUAGAAGAAGACUUCCUAUUCUUCCCCAUCUUCAAUCUUUCACAACAAUCGUCUCUUUCUAAUCCCUUAAACUUGUCUUUUUCAACUGGUUUUGAUAACCCAAGAAAAUCUCAGGCGAAUUUUGGGUGGAUUUCGACGUGUUUCACGGCAGAGGUUGGUGUGAAAUUGUAUUUGUAAGCAAUUUGGGGUGUGAAAAUAGUAGUCGGUGUUGGAUUACGAAAAGUUUGGCCAGAUCUGGUUGUGCGGUGGCCAGAUUUGGUUGUGGGGUGGCUUAGCUUGUUGCUACUGUGGAGGUUGAAGGAGGAAAGAAAAAUAGUGAUGGUGUGUGGCGGAGAUGAAGACGGGUGAGGGAGAAAGUAUAUGUGAUUUCGCCGGCAAAAAUGGCGACGACGCCGGCGAUGACUUUCUUUUGGUCGUGAAAUAGUGAAAAUAGGGAGAAUUAGAAAUUCCAAUAAUAAAUUAAAAUGUUAUUAUUUUACAUUUUAUUAAAUAAUUUUGGUUAAUAAUUUUUUAAAAAAUAGUUAUGAAAUAAUUAUGAUGUGGC
Molecule: long non-coding RNA, 727 nt
Filed under: Solanum tuberosum (potato)
Lineage: Eukaryota; Viridiplantae; Streptophyta; Magnoliopsida; Solanales; Solanaceae
Description: long non-coding RNA (STUB_LNC001618)
Source: RNAcentral